CUCUGCCUUUUUUGCCUGUGAACUGCCUGUCUGCUGACAUCAGAAGUGGUGGUCUGAUCCAAUCACAAUGCUUCCCCAUAGGAUUGGCUGAGCCUAUCAAUGAGGCAGAUCAGGGGCAGAGCCAGCAUGAUUCAAACACAGCCCUGGCCAAUCAGCAUCUCCUCAUAGUGAUGACUUGAACAAAUGCAUCUCUAUGAGGAAAAUUCAGUGUCUGUUUGCAGGGGGAGGAGACAUUGAAUGGCAGUGCUGCACACUAGGCAGGACUACCCCAGGAAGCACCUAUAGUAGCCAUCUGAGGAGUGGCCAGUGGAGGUGUCACCAGCCUGUAAUGUGAACACUGCAUUUUCUCUGUAAAGACUGUCUACAGCAAAAAGCCUGAAGAGAAUGAUUCUACUCACCAGAACAAAUGCAAUAAGCUGUAGUUGUUCUGGUGACUACAGUGUCCCUUUAAGGUACCACUUUGCUGCAUGGUGUAACACAUAGUGGGUUGUAUUUGCUUUGGUUGUAAGCAGAGGUGUAACUAGAAAUCACAGCUCCCUGUGUGAAAGUUGUACGCACUCUCCACCAGCCCCUCCCUCAAUGAGUGGUCACUUGAUAUUUUGGUCACUUCAGAAGUUUAGUUUAAAUCUAAUGUCAAUUGCAUUACUAAAUCUACAAAAAUGUAUGAUCAAUGUUUAGUUUUUUUUCAAGACUUUAUUUUUCCUACUUAAACUGACAUCAGGACCACUACGGCUUAACCCCUUAAGGACACAUGACAUGUGACAUGUCAUGAUUCCCUUUUUAUUCCAGAAGUUUGGUCUUUAAGGGGUUAAAGGAAUGGUUCUGGUGCAAAGUGGCUGCAAGGACUAAUGCCUCUUUCUCAGAAAAGGCAGUGUUUACAUUGGGUUCCAAGGCCACCUCUAGUAGGUGUAACUUAUGACCACCACUAUAGGCUUUUCCUUAUGCAGUGCUGCAAACUGAGGCAUUGCUGCAGUGCAGCAAAUGAUUUGCAUGCACAUUAAUCUCUUAAUGGGAAGCAUUGGAUUGGCAGAUAUCAUUUGUAUGAUGUGAAGGAGUGACCAGAUUACUAAUAAUUAUUUCACUUUUAAAGGGGUGCCUAUAAAUCAAACUAGCUGGGUAAACACUUACAUUAAGAAUACAGGUUUGAGUUUUGUUGCAAAGAAGUCUAGAUAAACAAUCC
Molecule: non-coding RNA, 1180 nt
Organism: Pelobates cultripes (western spadefoot toad)
Lineage: Eukaryota; Metazoa; Chordata; Amphibia; Anura; Pelobatidae
Source: the annotation of a GenBank genome assembly